Molecule: ribosomal RNA, 253 nt
Filed under: uncultured bacterium
Lineage: Bacteria
Description: partial 16S ribosomal RNA
Rfam family: Bacterial small subunit ribosomal RNA
Source: RNAcentral
GACAGAGGGUGCAAACGUUGUUCGGAAUUACUGGGCGUAAAGCGCGUGUAGGCUGCUUCGCAAGUCGGAUGUGAAAGCCCUGGGCUCAACCCAGGAAGUGCAUUCGAAACUGCAGAGCUGGAGUCCUGGAGAGGAAGGCGGAAUUCUCGGUGUAGAGGUGAAAUUCGUAGAUAUCGAGAGGAACACCGGUGGCGAAGGCGGCCUUCUGGACAGUGACUGACGGUGAGACGCGAAAGCGUGGGGAGAAAACAGG